UUCUUAAAUUUUGUUGUUCUUUGGUUAGGUUUAAAUCUUCAUCCACGAUGAAACUACGACGAACUGCGCCAUUUGCGACUGAAGAGAAAUCUGCGUUUCUUUGUUGAGUAUCUCUCCAGGGGGUGGUGAGAAUCUUUAAUCUCUGUAAUUUAUUAAAUAUAUAUUUGUUUAUAUAAGUAAUAAGUAAUAAAAGUAAUAAGAAGAAAACUAUUUUUUAUAUAAUUAAAUAUAUAAUUAAAUUUUAUAAUUUCUACAAGCCCUAAUUGUUGAAUGCUUUUAAUCGUUAUAUGCAUGUUUAAAGUAAUUAAACAGGUCCUUCUUAAUUUUUCUUUCUUAAACAUAUUCAAAUCAGUAUUGAAAAGAAUGUACUAAGAACAAUUGCAUGAAAAUUAGAUUAAGAUACCUGAAUAAAAUUGCCGGGUGUGAUAAUGAUCUUGUAAAUUGCAAUGCCGGGUAUCAUCGCAAUUGAGGAAGUCGCAAUUAACCAGCCUAAUAUAUUUGCCCACACAGGGUAUACGUAAUCUUCGUAAGUCAGUGAUCCAACUAAUGGCGAUCGCUUCCGCCAAAACUGCAAACAGCAUCGAGUAUCCAGCUGCGUAUCGGUCCAACAAGUGGAAGAAGUAAAAGC
Molecule: long non-coding RNA, 628 nt
Organism: Apis laboriosa (Himalayan honeybee)
Lineage: Eukaryota; Metazoa; Arthropoda; Insecta; Hymenoptera; Apidae
Exons: 3
Source: RefSeq, a predicted model, not a curated record